GAUGAAGAACGCAGCGAAAUGCGAUAAGUAAUGUGAAUUGCAGAAUUCAGUGAAUCAUCGAAUCUUUGAACGCACAUUGCGCCCCCUGGUAUUCCGGGGGGCAUGCCUGUUCGAGCGUCAUUUCACCACUCAAGCCUCGCUUGGUAUUGGGCAACGCGGUCCGCCGCGUGCCUCAAAUCGACCGGCUGGGUCUUCUGUCCCCUAAGCGUUGUGGAAACUAUUCGCUAAAGGGUGUUCGGGAGGCUACGCCGUAAAACAACCCCAUUUCUAAGGUUGACCUCGGAUCAGGUAGGGAUACCCGCUGAACUUAAGCAUCUCAAUAAGCGGAGGA
Molecule: unclassified non-coding RNA, 331 nt
Filed under: soil metagenome
Description: partial contains 5.8S ribosomal RNA, internal transcribed spacer 2, and large subunit ribosomal RNA
Rfam family: 5.8S ribosomal RNA (bases 1-120)
Source: RNAcentral